This 30-nucleotide non-coding RNA is filed under the name Homo sapiens (human). Lineage: Eukaryota; Metazoa; Chordata; Mammalia; Primates; Hominidae. The record is from RNAcentral.
UGAGCUGACUAUUGAGUCGGAGGCGCCCUC